Meleagris gallopavo (turkey) is the source of this 884-nucleotide non-coding RNA. Lineage: Eukaryota; Metazoa; Chordata; Aves; Galliformes; Phasianidae. The record is from RefSeq and is a predicted model, not a curated record.
CGGCGCCACGGGUGCCCGAGCGAUGGCGUAGCCGGUUGUAAAAACGGGCUGAAGCAAACUUGAAAAACUUUUAAUUCCUUUUUCCCGAAAUAAGCAUCGCUUGCAACGUCUGACUGCUGGAGCGAGCGCCCCGCCAUGGCGGCCCUGCGGCCGGACAAACGGGCGGCGGGACGGAGCGCGUGCGCAGCAAAAUAACGAGGCUGUGUGGUACCUUUUUGUCCGAUACGUCAGUUACCUUGCUUCCCGGUACCAGUAACGCUCAAGCUGUUGGGUAAAACCACCGUUGCAACGUCAGCCUUUCAGCCUGCACAGACACGGCUAUUCCUGGCUUUUCAUGCCGCCAAAAAAUGUUCUGAAGCGUUUAAAAAGCACGUAACAGCAUAAGGGAGCGGGCUUAGGAGCACUGGGUAAUGUUGGGAUAUUUUAAGUUUCAAAACAGCAACACCGGCAAUCAAACCAUUGAAUUCAAACUCUCUAAGGCUGUGGAACAAACCUUGAGGAGAAGCCAGGUACUCAAACAAAAUCACCAACACACAGCAGCACAGCAAGUCAAUUCCUAGGGGAUAGCUAUGGAUUAUUUGCUUAAAAGGACGUAAAACAUUGGAAUUAUUUAUUUUUAUGCUUACAUACGCCAUGAGCCAAUUUGUUUUAAAUGGAGAGGUGAAGUGAAGACGUAGGAAUGUUUAAGGACAUCGGAAAAUCAGAGCCUGCAAGUUAACUAGAAGGGUUAAAGCCAUUUCAACACCUAAUUAUUCAAAUGCCAUUUGAGGAGAGGAUGGCUUGUCCGUUCUACAGUCACAAUGUACAUGAAGUUAUUUAAGAUGUGUAGCACCACGCUUGCACUGCAGUGGACCAAAGAAAGCAAGCUGAACCCUUACAAUCAA